UCCUCGGUAGCUCAAUGGUAGAGCACCUGACUGUUAAUCAGGGUGUUGCAGGUUCGAGUCCUGCCCGAGGAGCCA
Molecule: transfer RNA, 75 nt
Filed under: Actinobacteria bacterium RBG_13_63_9
Lineage: Bacteria; Bacillati; Actinomycetota
Also listed under: 4 other names
Description: tRNA-Asn
Rfam family: tRNA
About the family: Transfer RNA (tRNA) molecules are approximately 80 nucleotides in length. Their secondary structure includes four short double-helical elements and three loops (D, anti-codon, and T loops). Further hydrogen bonds mediate the characteristic L-shaped molecular structure. tRNAs have two regions of fundamental functional importance: the anti-codon, which is responsible for specific mRNA codon recognition, and the 3' end, to which the tRNAs corresponding amino acid is attached (by aminoacyl-tRNA synthetases). tRNAs cope with the degeneracy of the genetic code in two manners: having more than one tRNA (with a specific anti-codon) for a particular amino acid; and 'wobble' base-pairing, i.e. permitting non-standard base-pairing at the 3rd anti-codon position.
Source: RNAcentral